AACCUGCCUCGGAGUGGGGAAUAACAACAACGAAAAGACGUGCUAAUACCGCAUGAUACAGUUGGGUCGCAUGACUCUGACUGUCAAAGAUUUAUCGCUCUGAGAUGGCCUCGCGUCUGAUUAGCUAGUUGGUGGGGUAACGGCCCACCAAGGCGACGAUCAGUAGCCGGACUGAGAGGUUGACCGGCCACAUUGGGACUGAGACACGGCCCAG
Molecule: ribosomal RNA, 214 nt
Filed under: uncultured bacterium
Lineage: Bacteria
Description: partial 16S ribosomal RNA
Rfam family: Bacterial small subunit ribosomal RNA
Source: RNAcentral